This 203-nucleotide non-coding RNA is filed under the name Salmo salar (Atlantic salmon). Its description in RNAcentral is "Eukaryotic large subunit ribosomal RNA". It matches the Rfam family "Eukaryotic large subunit ribosomal RNA", at positions 2121 to 2292 of the family's 3401-position model. The record is from Rfam by way of RNAcentral. Lineage: Eukaryota; Metazoa; Chordata; Actinopteri; Salmoniformes; Salmonidae.
GGACCAGGGGAAUCCGACUGUUUAAUUAAAACAAAGCAUCGCGAAGGCCCGAGGUGGGUGUUGACUCGAUGUGAUUUUUGCCCAGUGCUCUGAAUGUCAAAGUGAAGAAAUUCAAUGAAGCGUGGGUAAAUGGUGGGAGUAACUAUGACUCUCUUGAGGAGACCUUAGCCCAGGAUGAUAGUAAAAGGGGCAAUAAGAUACAU